AAUAGCUCAGUUGGUAGAGCACAACCUUGCCAAGGUUGGGGUCGUGGGUUCGAAUCCCAUUU
RNAcentral lists this transfer RNA (62 nucleotides) under Flammeovirgaceae bacterium. Its description in RNAcentral is "tRNA-Gly". It matches the Rfam family "tRNA", at positions 6 to 65 of the family's 71-position model. Rfam says of the family: Transfer RNA (tRNA) molecules are approximately 80 nucleotides in length. Their secondary structure includes four short double-helical elements and three loops (D, anti-codon, and T loops). Further hydrogen bonds mediate the characteristic L-shaped molecular structure. tRNAs have two regions of fundamental functional importance: the anti-codon, which is responsible for specific mRNA codon recognition, and the 3' end, to which the tRNAs corresponding amino acid is attached (by aminoacyl-tRNA synthetases). tRNAs cope with the degeneracy of the genetic code in two manners: having more than one tRNA (with a specific anti-codon) for a particular amino acid; and 'wobble' base-pairing, i.e. permitting non-standard base-pairing at the 3rd anti-codon position. Lineage: Bacteria; Pseudomonadati; Bacteroidota; Cytophagia; Cytophagales; Flammeovirgaceae. The record is from RNAcentral.